Molecule: non-coding RNA, 886 nt
Organism: Epinephelus lanceolatus (giant grouper)
Lineage: Eukaryota; Metazoa; Chordata; Actinopteri; Perciformes; Serranidae
Source: RefSeq, a predicted model, not a curated record
AUAAACUUACAAUCUAUGAUUCAGAUGGACUGAUAUCAGAGCAGCGGACUCUACAGUUGACUAUUCAAGGUGAGGAAACCUCCUGUGAUGGCAGACAGGAUGGAGCUCAGUGUUACGGAGUUUUGGGAGGAACUGUGGUCCUCCGGCUGAUGGACAGCGCCUCAGAAAUAUUUAGAUAACAAUGGUCAAACAAAACAACAGUAAUACUCUAUGGGAGAAAGAAUCAGAUUGUGUCUAAUGAGAUAGAAAACAGAUCAUCAUUUACUCCCAGUGAUGGAACAUUUAGGAUCAAUAACCUGAGCUGGAGUGAUGAAGGAGAAUAUAAUCUUGAAAUCUAUGAUUCAGAUGGACGAAUCACAGAGCAGCAGACUCUACAGCUGACCAUUCAAGGUGUGGAAACCUCCUGUGAUGGCAGACAGGAUGGAGCUCAGUGUUAUGGAGCUUUGGGAGGAACUGUGGUCCUCCGGCUGAUGGACAGCGCCUCAGAAAUAUUUAGAUACCAAUGGUCAAACAAAACAACAGUAAUACUCAGUGGGAGAGAGAAUCUGAUUGUGUCUAAUGUGAUAGAGAACAGAUCAUCAUUUACUCCCAGUGAUGGAACAUUUAGGAUCAAUAACCUGAGCUGGAAUGAUGGUGGGGAAUAUACUCUUAUAACCUUUGAUUCAGAAGGGCGGAGAUCAGAGCAGCGGACUCUACUGUUGACAAUUCAAGGAUGAUAGCUUUUUUAACGACUGAGAAAAUGAGUAUUACUGAUAGACAUUCAUGUCAUAUUCUACUGCUCAACUACAUGUGUCUCAUAUUCUACAUAUAUCUGUAUCUAUGCCUGGCCUGUUCUGUCAUGUAAUUUCCCAGCAAUGUAUUGAAAAUAAAAAGAUGUCACACUGUG